Molecule: ribosomal RNA, 250 nt
Filed under: uncultured bacterium
Lineage: Bacteria
Description: partial 16S ribosomal RNA
Rfam family: Bacterial small subunit ribosomal RNA
Source: RNAcentral
UACAGAGGGUGCGAGCGUUAAUCGGAAUUACUGGGCGUAAAGGGCGCGUAGGCGGUUAUAUAAGUUGAAUGUGAAAUCCCUGGGCUUAACCUAGGAACUGCAUGCAAGACUGUAUGACUAGAGUGCUGUAGAGGGUAGUGGAAUUUCCGGUGUAGCGGUGAAAUGCGUAGAUAUCGGAAGGAACACCAGUGGCGAAGGCGGCUACCUGGACAGACACUGACGCUGAGGCGCGAGAGCGUGGGGAGCAAAC